This 497-nucleotide ribosomal RNA is filed under the name uncultured bacterium. Its description in RNAcentral is "partial 16S ribosomal RNA". It matches the Rfam family "Bacterial small subunit ribosomal RNA", at positions 28 to 507 of the family's 1533-position model. The record is from RNAcentral.
GACGAACGCUGGCGGCGUGCUUAACACAUGCAAGUCGAACGGUGAAGCGCCUUCCUUUCUGGUCGGUGUGGAUGGGCGGCGAACGGGUGAGUAACACGUGAGUAACCUGCUCCCUUUUUCUGGAUAACCGCAUGACAGUGUGGCUAAUAGGGGAUAUUCUGGAUCUGUUGCAUGAUGGGUCUGGGAAGGUUAUUGUUUCGCUGGGGGAUGGGCUCGCGGCGCAUUAGCUGGUUGGUAGGGUGAUGGCGUACCAAGGCGGCGAUGAGUAGCCGGCCUGAUAGGGUGGUCGACGAUCACACAGGGGCGGAAACGCGGCGAAGACUCCGGGGGGAAGCAGCAGGGAAGAAUAUUGCACGAGGGGAAGAAGGCUGGUGCAACGACGCCGCGUGAGUGAUGGUGUCCGUCGGGUUGAGAACCUCUUUCGCGAGUGAAGCAGGCCGGCCUCGUUUGUGGGUGGGUUGACGGUAGCUGGAUAAGAAGCGCCGGCUAACUACGUG